This is a long non-coding RNA of Hordeum vulgare subsp. vulgare (domesticated barley), 563 nucleotides long. RefSeq lists it as uncharacterized. The transcript is spliced from 2 exons. NCBI's taxonomy places the organism in Eukaryota, Viridiplantae, Streptophyta, Magnoliopsida, Poales, Poaceae. The record is from RefSeq and is a predicted model, not a curated record.
GUCUAUUGGCAUCAGUCCAACCUGCUCUACCCGGUCUUGUGGUCUUCUUUUUCCUUACUUUCUCCUUCUUCAAGCUAACUCUCCAUCAAUGGCUUCCGCAAGAACCUCCGCGCUUAAUAUGGCCGUCGUCGCCCUCUGCCUUGUGCUGGUCCUGUCGUCCAUGGGGCAGAAGGCGAUGGGUGAUUGCGCCUCCGAGUGCGCCGCCGCCUGCGCCUGCACCGGAACGUGCCGGGGCUGCAUCCAGGAAGCGGCAUGCACCGGUAUCUGCGGCCCAACCUCCACCGUGCCCGCAAACUGCCCGGGCUGCAAGGAAACGGCCAGGCUAGCGUGCGAAAGCGAAUGCUUCUCCGGCUGCUCGAUCGGAUAAGGCGUCACCGCGGUAAACGUUUACCGACUGCAUGCUUGCAUGUUGUGCUAGCUAGCUCCGACGACGGUGCCCACCCGGGAGGAAGCUGCUGCCUCGUUGCGUCAGUGUUGUGUUGUAUUUUGUUAUGUUUUUUCCCUUCGUUCGUGUCAUUGUUAUUUCCAAGUAAUCUCUCUUGUGAAAAAUAUUACCAUUUCAA